This 302-nucleotide long non-coding RNA is filed under the name Capsella rubella. RNAcentral describes it as "long non-coding RNA (CRUB_LNC000036)". Lineage: Eukaryota; Viridiplantae; Streptophyta; Magnoliopsida; Brassicales; Brassicaceae. The record is from RNAcentral.
UUUUAUUAAUUAUAUGUCAAUUUUUGUGUCAAAAUUUCUUGUACUAUUUAUGUCAAAAAAAAUUGGCGGGAAAUUAUUUGUUGGAAUUUUUUUGGCGGAAAAUAUUUUGGCGGAAAAUUUUUGUCAAAAAUAUUUGUGGGAGAAACUUUUUGUGGGAAAAUUUUGAAGGGAAUAAUUUUUACUAGAAUUUUUUUGGAAGGAAAACCGUUAACCCUAAACUCUAAACGCUAAACCCUAAACCCUAAACCCCAAACUCUAAGAGCUUUGUCGUUCUAGAGCUAUUGGUUGAUUUCUCUUUUUUU